This 468-nucleotide ribosomal RNA is filed under the name uncultured bacterium. Its description in RNAcentral is "partial 16S ribosomal RNA". It matches the Rfam family "Bacterial small subunit ribosomal RNA", at positions 28 to 507 of the family's 1533-position model. The record is from RNAcentral.
GGCGAACGCUGGCGGCGUGCUUAACACAUGCAAGUCGAACGGAAAGGCCCUGCUUUUGUGGGGUGCUCGAGUGGCGAACGGGUGAGUAACACGUGAGUAACCUGCCCUUGACUUUGGGAUAACUUCAGGAAACUGGGGCUAAUACCGGAUAGGAGCUCCUGCUGCAUGGUGGGGGUUGGAAAGUUUCGGCGGUUGGGGAUGGACUCGCGGCUUAUCAGCUUGUUGGUGGGGUAGUGGCUUACCAAGGCUUUGACGGGUAGCCGGCCUGAGAGGGUGACCGGCCACAUUGGGACUGAGAUACGGCCCAGACUCCUACGGGAGGCAGCAGUGGGGAAUAUUGCACAUUGGGCGGAAGCCUGAUGCAGCAACGCCGCGUGCGGGAUGACGGCCUUCGGGUUGUAAACCGCUUUCGCCUGUGACGAAGCGUGAGUGACGGUAAUGGGUAAAGAAGCACCGGCUAACUACGUG